Molecule: ribosomal RNA, 253 nt
Filed under: uncultured bacterium
Lineage: Bacteria
Description: partial 16S ribosomal RNA
Rfam family: Bacterial small subunit ribosomal RNA
Source: RNAcentral
UACAGAGGGUGCGAGCGUUAAUCGGAAUUACUGGGCGUAAAGCGUGCGUAGACGGUUAUUUAAGUCGAGUGUGAAAGCCCCGGGCUCAACCUGGGAAUUGCAUUCGAGACUGAAUAGCUAGGGUACGGUAGAGGGAAGCGGAAUUUCCGGUGUAGCGGUGAAAUGCGUAGAUAUCGGAAGGAACAUCAGUGGCGAAAGCGGCUUCCUGGACCAGUACCGACGUUCAGGCACGAAAGCGUGGGGAGCAAACAGG